Non-coding RNA from Vigna umbellata (rice bean), 3958 nucleotides. The record is from RefSeq and is a predicted model, not a curated record. Lineage: Eukaryota; Viridiplantae; Streptophyta; Magnoliopsida; Fabales; Fabaceae.
GACAUUUGUUAGAGGGUGCAUGAGAGUGUUCUGAACCACUCAACUGAUUCGACCGAUCCCAAAUGACAGCUACGAUGAUAAACACCGCACCCAGCUGCUCCUUCCACCGCACCACCACUCUCACAACCUCUCAUUCUCUUCCAUUCACUCCCCUUCACCAUUCAUGUCUACACCACUGCCACUUCUCCUUCUGCACACAACCUCUCCGAUUAACCAACCUCCGCUGCCACACACUAUCGCCGUUAACCACCAAGACGCUCAAAGUGAAUUGUUCCAUCAGCGAUCCUCUGAAGGUGAUGAUAUCAGGUGCACCUGCUUCCGGCAAAGGCACGCAAUGUGAAUUAAUUGUCCAAAGGUUUGGAUUGGUGCACAUAUCAACUGGGGAUUUGCUAAGAGCAGAGGUGGCCGCUGGAACUGAAAUUGGGAAUAAAGCAAAAGAGUUCAUGAACGCGGGCCAACUGGUUCCUGAUGAAAUUGUGACAGCAAUGGUGGCAGCACGAUUGUCUCUCGAAGAUGCUAAGCAAAAGGGGUGGCUUCUUGAUGGGUACCCUCGAAGUUUGGGCCAGGCCCAGAGUCUGGAGAAAAUGCAGAUACGACCUGAUGUGUAUAUAGUAUUGGAUGUUCCUGAUGAAAUUCUGAUCGACAGAUGUGUUGGUAGAAGGCUUGAACCAGUGACAGGGAAGAUAUACCAUCUAACUUUUUUUCCACCGGAGACUGAAGAGAUUAAAGCAAGGCUGGUAACUCGACCUGACGACACUGAGGAGAAGGUCAAAUCUCGCCUCAACAUAUACAAGCAAAAUGCAGAAGCCGUAUCUUCAUCGUACUCAAAUACAAUUCAUAAGAUUGAUGGCAGCAAUUCAAAAGAAGCGGUUUUCAAUGAAAUUGAAUCUUUGCUAUCUCAAUUGCAACAUAAUAAAGUAAAGCUAGUGAAAUCUGGAGAAAAAUCAAUUCCUGAUUCAAAGAAAGGACGGACAUCUUUGAGCCAGGAUAAGUGGAGAGGGAUUCCUACUAGACUAAACAAUAUUCCCCAUUCUCGAGAAAUCAGGAAAUAUUUCUAUGAUGAUGUGCUACAAGCUACUGAGAGGGCUAUCAAUGAUGGUAAAACUAGGUUGAAGGUUGACAUCAACAUUCCUGAGCUGAACCCAGAAAUGGAUGUUUAUCGAAUAGGUACCUUGAUGGAACUUGUUCGAGCUCUUGCCCUCUCUUUUGCGGAUGAUGGAAAACGGGUUAAGGUUUGUGUACAAGGGUCGAUGGGAGAUGGUGCUCUUGCUGGAAUGCCGUUGCAGCUUGCUGGAACUCGUAAGAUUUUAGAGUUCAUGGACUGGGGUGAUUAUGGAGCAAAAGGAACCUUCAUCAAUAUUGGUUCUAUAGGUGCUGCUGAGGUUGGGGAGCAAGAUGACAUGUUUAUCUUGGUGGCUCCUCAAAAUGCUGUUGGGAAUUGUAUUAUUGAUGAUCUAAGAGCCAUGACCAACGCAGCUGAACACAGACCAGUUAUUCUGGUCAAUGCUAGGCUUAAGGAUUUGCCUGGUUCUAGUGGUAUAAUGCAAACGAUGGGGAGGGACCAGAGGCUCAAGUAUGCAGCAUCUUUUGAAAGUUGCUACUUCUUUCGACUUCUGUAUUAUGCAGGAACCCAGUAUCCCAUAAUGGGAGCUAUCAGGAAACUGUGGAAGAGGAUACUGUCGAUGAUCAUACCAUGGUCUAAAUCAAAAGUCACAUGAAUAGAAAAAAAGGAAGGUAAAGACAAUGUCAUGUCUUUUUGCUAGUGUUUUAAGACCAUAUUCACUAGAAUUAUGGCUUUCAAAAUAACAAAUGAAAUUUGGGAUUAUUUGAAGGAGGAAUACAUCGGAGAUGAAAGAGUAUGAAGCACGUGGGUGCUUAAUUCAAUGAGAGAAUUUGAAUUGUAAAUGAUGAAAGUGUUUUAGACAAUAAAGGAAUACUCAAAAAAAUUAUUGGAUAUUGCUCACUAGAUAAAGCUGUUGGGUAACAAUGUUGAAGAGGUACACAUCUAUAUCCUCAUUGGAGAAUACAAAUAAUAUGACUAAGAUUAUUGCAAAAGUGCUACAUUCUCUGCAAGCCCAACAACAGUGAAGGCUGAUGAGACAUUAUCAUGUUGUUGAAGGUACUUUGCAAGCCAAAAAAAAUAAUGAUGUUGAGAAGAAUUAAAAGAAAAUUUUCAAGCAAAAUCAGGCUUCAUUCAACACAAUAAACAACAACAUUAAAGACAAGGGAAAAAAAAAGAAAACGACUUUCAACCUUAUAAAAAUUGUAGCAAAAAAGGCCAUCCACCAUUCAGAUGUUGGAGGAGACUAGAUGCAAAAUGCUGCAAGUGAAACCAAAUGGACAUGAAGCUGUGGUUUUUCUCAACAAAAAUCACCAUGUUGAGCUUAGAUUGUUAAUCAAGAGGAGGAAGACCAAUUGUUUGUGGCCACUUGUUUCUUGAGCAAUGAAUCAAUUGAAAGUUGGUUGGUUGAUUGAUAUUGGAUGUACUAAUUACAUGAUCUUUGAUAAGGCACUCUUAACAGAUUUGAGGCCAACUAGUGUUAUCAAAGUUAGAAUUGAAAUGAUCUUAAUCAAAGGAAAGGGGACUACUGCAAUCACAAGUUGUAUCGGCACAAAACUUAUUUCUAACUUUGUUAGCAAGGAUGUUCACUUUGUGGUAGGUGAAGAAUGAAAUUGGGAUGAACCAAAGAAGAUUGAUCAAGCUUUUAAAGAUUUGUACCAAAACUUUCGCUCAAGUUUAGAAGAUGAAAGUUGGUAGAAUGAGUUAGUUGAUGAUGUUCCUAUAAGAGGUACUAGAUUGUUCUUUUUUUAUGUUUGUGACAAAUGUAGCAUUGUUGUAUGUGAACCUGCAAACUAAGAAGUAUAACAAAAGACUCUAAUUUGGGUUAUUGUAAUGAAGGUGAAGCUCUUAAUGAUAAGGAGAAAUCAAACCUAGUUUCAGAAAGACUACAAGACAAGGAAGUUAUUGAAAUCAAAUGGGUAUAUAAGACUAAGCUUAAUGUUGAUGGUUAUAUUAAUGAACACAAGGAUAGACUUGUAGUGAAGGGUUAUGCUAAAGUUUUUGAUGUGGAUUACUCAAUACAUUUGCACUAGUUGUUUGAUAAGACACCAUCAACUUGUUGGUUGGUGUAGAUGCUCAACAGAAUUGAAAAGUUUGUCAACUUGAUGUCAAAUUAACGUAUCAUUAUUAAAGACAGCUGUGGGUAAGUAUGAGGUUGAGGAGGAUCGCCCUACUGGUUGGAGGAUGAUAGAGCAGAAUUAUUAACUCCUGAAGGGAUCUUGGCUACUCGGGAAAACACAAAGAAAGGGAAAAUUAAGAAGCAAGUUCUUGUGCAGUGGAAGGGGAAAAAUGUUGAUGAAGCUACUUGGGAAGAUGAAGUGAUCAUUAGAAGUCAGUUUCCAGAAUUUAGCCUUGAGGACAAGGCUCUAUUUCAAGAAAGGGGUAUUGAUACAGACCCAAACCUUAUUGGGCUCAAUGAGCCCUUGAUCCAAGAAGAAAAGGUCAAGCACAGGUGGGGCAGAGUAUAUGAGAGGAAAAAGACUAGGAAGGGUGACGUGGUAUAGUAGGGAGGAAUAGGUUGGUUAGAAGAGAGAGAAAGGGGUGUGGUUGUUUUAAAAAGAAUCAGGAAGGAAGUUUUGAAAACAUUUAGUUGUUUUUCAGUAGAGAGGGAGCCAUUCUUGGUUUCUCUUAGGAGCUUGGCUUUGGGCAGUGAGAUAUUCAUAUCUUACUGAUUUUCUUGUUCUGCAGAAAAUAAAAAUCAUCCAUGUUCCAUUUGAGUCUUCAUUCAAUCUUUUUCUGUUCUUUUAAAAAAACCUUAUCAGGAAUACUUCAAGGUACUAUUUUGGCUUUGGAUUGAGUUUUUCUCAUGGAGCUCAAAAAACAAGAAAUUGUUGCCCAAUCUGCUUUAGAAGUUCAAUUUGAUGCUAUCACCCCUAUUGUCAACCUAGGAAAAACUAA